RNAcentral lists this ribosomal RNA (332 nucleotides) under uncultured eukaryote. RNAcentral describes it as "partial 18S ribosomal RNA". It matches the Rfam family "Eukaryotic small subunit ribosomal RNA", at positions 1470 to 1796 of the family's 1831-position model. The record is from RNAcentral.
CCCUUAGAUGUCCUGGGCUGCACGCGCGCUACACUGGAAGUUACGGAUUGAGAUACUACCUUGUCCGAAAUGGUCCGGGUAAUCACCUAAAAGCUUGUCAUAAUUGGAAUGGAUUAUUGUAACUAGUAAUCCUGAACGAGGAAUUCCUAGUAAGUCCCAGUCAACAGCUGGUACUGAUUACGUCCCUGCCCUUUGUACACACCGCCCGUCGCCACUACUGAUUGGACGUUUAAGCAAGAUUUUUAAACACUGACAGUGUGUAGUUCACGCUAUACUACAGUGAGAAGAAGAAGAUCGAGCUUACUUGUCUAGAGGAAGUAAAAGUCGUAACA